GAAAUACACAUGAUUACAGCAUGCCUAAAAAUACUGGCCAAAUCGAGAAAAUUAAUAUUUAAAUUAAAAUUCAUUCAAUAAAAUUAUACAAAAUUAAAAUCGUGAUUAAUAGUCAGAAUGCAAUUUACUUUACGUCACUGUUGCUAUUAGUGUUGAUCGCUUAGUGUUGAUUCGAAAAUACGAAAUACAAAAUGCAAGAUUGACAAUUUUAAAUGUCAGCGAAAUUAAUUUCGGUGUUUUGAGAAUAAUUGAUGAUUUCUCCGUGCCGGCGAUGGAUUCGCGACGCAUGCGCUAUAUAAAGAUCGAACGGCAAACGAUCCGUAACGCCAAUUUAAUUAAUUGCCCGCAGUAGAACAACAUCUCGACCGGGACGAAGCACAGAAAAAAAUUCUAAUCGCUUCUACAGUUGCGUAAGUGAAAUUAAACAGAGGAGAUCACGAGGCGCGUGUGUUUCGACCUCGUUGAAACGCUCGACGUGACUGCCGCAUUACGUUAAGUCUCCAUAAUGUUUUCUACGCGAGUAGUUUUUAAUAGUUAAUCUACGUACGAGUGACCCCGAGACUGAAUAACACAUUCCGUGGGGUUUUUUUGUUUUUGUUUUGUUACGCACCGCGUAACACGAUCAAGUCUGGAGUAGACUGGCGUGUGAGUAUCCGAUAAGGAUAAUGCGCCAUGCUAUCGCGGGUCAAGCCUGUAAAUGCACACAGUGUAUCGCGCAUUCGAUACGCUCUCAAUGCGGCUUUCAACGUUUUCUGAGGACACCCUUGUCAACUAUCUCCGGUUGUGCAAACGCGGUACGCCAUACAAACACGUACCGCAUAAAAGUGACGUAACUGCUGUCGCGCGCGAGUCCGGAUUAGAUCGGAACUCGCGCGCGAGCGCGGCGCAUCGCUGGAGCGGCAAGCGCGUCCAAACACACGCCGGAGCAGGAAAUCGAUAUCGACGCCGAUUCGUUUCGAUUCAGCGCGACACGACAGGCGGGGAAAGAGGGAAAGAGGGAAAGAGCGACCGGAUGCCCGGCCGCUUCGGCGAACCGUGUCCACUGCGCUCGUACAAUCUCAUUAAAUUCAACAUGACCCGUUCGCUCGCGACAGAUCGGACACGGGAUCACGCGGAGAGACCUCGACAACGCCGGAACGACGUCGCGCCUCCAGCUACACCGCAUAAUGCGCGAGCGCGGGCGCGUUAAUUCCCCGCCGAAAAUGUCGCGCCGCGUGCAUUAUCGGUGAUCCCAGUUCGGUGACACCAAUUUAUCAGGCUGAAUAAAUCGCGAGAUUCAUUUUUCCGAGCGUGUUUGGCACGGAUGAAAAGUUCAGUUUCAGCCUGCGCGAGAAUUAAGAGGAGAGAGUGACAAGAGGAGAUGUAAUAAAUAAAGAUUGAAUACGGCGACGUUUAGCGUCGAGAAGGAUACUGUCUACCUACUGUAACAAAGACGAUAAAAAUAAAAACGAUUAGCCUUCCCCGAGAGUACCGCACAUAUCGCGAGUGUCCAGGCAAGGGUCGUCGACCCCCGGAACUCUCGGGGAAGCAUAUUAAUUACAAAUCGCUCCGAAGCCAUCGAUCGAUCGACGGCCGACCAUUCAUCACGAUCGCCAGCACAGUUCUGAGGCGCACGCGGAGGGAUCGAUCGGUCGGCCGAUCCCCCACUUCAGUGCCCUCCUUUCUUCCACCACUCGCCCGUAUAUCCCUGCCGCCGCCGCCGCGUCAACCGGGGGGUCAACGGCCACCAACGUUAAUGGUCCCUCUUUCUCUCUCUCGUCUCCCAUAAGUCCCUCUCUCUUCCUCGCCACACGCGGUAGAGAGAGUCGCUUCGUGGUGGUUACUCACUACCGCGUCCCACUCGCGCACCCCCUCUUCUUCCCUUCCUCCAUCCUCUCGCCGCUCGCCCCAACGCCCCUACGCCCCCACGCCCCCGAGAGUUCUCUCCUCUUCCCUCCGGGCGAGCUGCAACACGUCCAAUGGCGUGACGAUCGCUGAUGCGGAGCACCGUGUACACGCGCAUCGGCCCGCGAUCUAUGACUGAUUAGCCAGAGAUAGGCCCCGCGCGCGCAUGCAAUUAUCCGCACCUUGAAGAGCGCGAGACGCGGGGCGAACGGCUGAUGGCUCCGGGCAACGACGAGUCGGGUUAUUACGAGCGGCGGACGGCGCGGCGGGAAGAACGGGAAGAAUGGGACUCUCUCUCGUUUUACAUCCGAUCGAUACGCACGUAUUAUAUUCGCCAUCGAUAUUCGCGAUAUCGAAUCGUCGAUUGAGCCUCCGCGGCCGUUACCUACUUUCGUUUAACAGUAAAACUCGAAUCGAACAUUCCUACGUAUCGGUUUUGGUUCUACGUCGUUAAUGGCGCAACGAUAAUUCGCCGUACGCACGCAGCCGUGUCGGACUGCAAUUUCUGGCUGAUUAGAGGCUGCGUUACGAAGGCACGGCGAUUGCGUACGCAAUUGUGCGAACAGAAAACAACGUUUCGCUUAGAGACAAAUACCGAUUGUAUAGUAUCGUCAAGGCCCGUACUAGUCCGACUAGGAUAUCGUGAUCAUUGGCCGCCAACGAGAGACGUCGUCUAUCAGAAAAUAACGUGAUCUCUGUGAUUACGAGAAGAAAUCCGAGAUAAUCAAGAUGCGAUUCAACGGAUGACGACGGACGGCAUCGUGCGGAAGGAAAAUUACGUUCGCUCCGAGUUGCAUACAUCCGAGUCGCGUGUGAUUAUAUAAUUCUAGAAAUUCGCGGUCCCUUCGUGCUGAUGAACGAGCCUUCUCGCAAUGCCCCUGUCGAGAGAUAAAGCCUCGUAACUAAAUUUCAAUUAGACAUUCGCGCUUCGCAAAUCUCCCCUCGUAUGUAGGGUAGAUACACACGAUGACGAGUUCGUAACGACGAGAGAGGCCCCGCUGAGGGAAGGAUCCUUCGCCAUUACUGGGAAAACUGGCACGUACGUGGCACGUACCGCGGUCGGGUAUCGAGCAGAACGCGAACGCUAUCGCCAGGAAACCAGGUUACUAACAUUGUGCUAGGCUGGCAUGGAAGAAAAACGAGUCAAACGCGCCGGACUCGUUAGAGCCGUCGUAAAGCCGUCGGUGCCGAUAAACGGGGGAGGCGGCUUGCCACGCAGGAAGAUAACGAAACCACGUUCGUGGGUAUAUCAAACGGGAUAACGAUUUCGCUCUCUCGCGCAGCUGGUGUCGCUGUUAACGACUUAAUUUACUCUCUGCCCAAUACGUUCGAGCGAGACGGGCAGCACGUAUCUUAAGAGCUCUUCUUCCGAGAACCGCGGGAACCAAGACACGGUAGACACGUCGACGGUCUUCGAGUCGAAAGCCAUCGAGGAUUGAGGGGACAAAGAAAUGUCCCCGCUCUACGCUUUCAUUUAUAAACGGUAUCGGAAUGCUAAGCGUUUCGAAGACUCUCGAGUCUCGAAGCAGGCUCGUUCUCGCGGUGCUCGAAAGUCUUUUUCUUCAUUCGGCGCGAUCGUCGUUCCCUUCGCGGCAUUCGAUUGUCGCUCGAAGUCGACGCAGCCGAGUCACGUAAUAAAAUUAUAAAUCCACGGCGGGAAUGACUCAACGCGCGGGUUAAGGUCGCAACGUGAAGAGGAAAUACGUGACGAAAGGGAGAAACAAAACGAAGAGGAAAAACGAGCACGGGAGAAGAAGUCGAUACACAUCUUACCACAGCAAACCAGACGCAAAUUUGCGAUUAGCGACGCUUAUGCUUACUUAAUGCCUGUCCGAUGGAGAAUUCUAUGCUUUGAAAUUUUUAACGUAACGUGGCCCGAGCACUGCCAGCCACGAUUGACGCAAGUUCGACAAACUCGCAGAUGAGAUGACGGCCGACGAUGUGAAACGCAGAUCUGAAGCUACGCUAUAGUAUUUGCGUGCACGCAUCGCUGUCAUCGACGUGAGAGCGAUGACCGCGUGACACGAGGUGGAGUAUCGUUCGUGUGCGACAAGAGAAAUCACGUAGUUAGUAGUAGAAACUCAAUCAGACCGUAUUAUCAGUAUUGUAAAAACGUCUGUUGGAUCCGCACCCGUUGGGUGCUGCUAAAAGCAUUAUAAAUUUGCAUAAAAAUUCACAAUAUUAUAUUUAAACAUAAAUGAAAACAAAUCGAGAAAAUAAGAGAAUUGGACAAAUUGAGAUCUAUCCGUUGCGUAACACAUUUUAAUAUGGUGUCUUUCCGAUACGGCAAUUGUAAUUUUUUAGAGAGACUGCGCGAUAACGGUAAUUCAGUCCAGGUCAUAGACGCAUACAUACACACACACAUACACGCUCGUUCGCGAUUAUUAUCGAUUCGCGAUAAAGUCCGCGAAGCGCCGGAUGGACGGGCGCGCUCGUUCGGCGUAUCGCGAUCCGAUCGUAUCCGAUCCCUCGAAAUGCGCACCUGAGAAGACACGCAAAGUGGAAAAAAUUCAUUUCCUGCGACGAUGACGAUCUCCGCAUAAAUAAACGGCAGAGAUAAGAGAGCCGCGAUCGGCGUGGACGCCACGUCGUGGGCUAUUAAACGAAAUUACUUAUGCUUAUGGAUCGUUUGAAGGAAUAGCGCGGUUGCGCUAACGUGAGACGGUGACCGGCCGACGUGCGUUCUCUUCCUGUCGUGAACGGUCACACAAUGGUCGCGUACACAUUAUUCCCGAUAGGUCACGCAGCUAUUAAUUCGUUAAUUACAGAGUGCGUCACGAAAAGGAUCACGCACGUAGAAUGUUUCGGGUAUUUCUUACAAACUGUCCUGCAUUUUCCACGUUUCGCAUCGUCUACAGAUUUCUUCGCCGAGAUAGGCAGCUCCACGCCAGAAAUGUUUGCGACGCGGAAUGACGCAACAACGAGAACGCGAGAAUCUCGCAAUCUUUAUUUUUUUUUUGCAAUGAUUACGUUAGUAACAACCAACGCAUUAACAACCAGUGUGUUUUUCUCCGAAGUAACCGAGGCUGUUCUUGCAAAGUUAUUAUCGCGCAGUGAUAAUUCUCUGGGACUUUUGUCGCGAGACACGUGGAGAAAUUGCGCGUGUCCUUAUCUGUUGACAAGACAAGUCGUACGAUCGAUUAUCGUGGGAGAGACUCGAAACGCCCUCCUCGUUUCUUUCAUCGGCAUUUUUGCAUCGCGCGAUGAGCAAUGUAAUUAUUCGCGUGUUUGACGAACGUAAUUCGUUAUAAAGAACAUUUAGCAGUCGCACAGGUAUUAAGCCCGUUAGACGGGCUUCCCGAUAUUUCUUCGACACUACUUACUCACUUGUAAAGCUUCCUAAGAAAAUUAGCCCUCUUAGAAGCGUGUAAAAAUAAAACACCGCGUCGUCAUUAAUACUCUUGUUCGUGCAUCGAAUCGUAAUCUCGAAAAUUCCUAAUUCCCCUUAAAUUCCACCCUUGAAAGACGUCUCUGCGACAAUUGGACGUGCAAAGUGAAAGGUCUCGUUUGAAACGAGACUAAAUCAACGACGACGCCGAAAAGAGAAUCGACUAAUGAAGUCGCGGCAGUAGUUCAAUAAUGGGAUUCCAAGGAGACCGGACACGUCGCGACACGGUGGAAUCCGCGAGAGCAAAGUAGAAAUCCGAGUUUGUCCAGGCUUUGUUUUACUUGUUCGGGGGAAUCGCAGAGAUCUUCAAGGGAAUGAUUCUCAAGGGCUCCUCGACACAAGGUUCGCGAAGCGUAAAAGAGCGGUGAGCGAAUAAAAGAAGGGAAACGCUGAUGUGUUCUUUGAUAUUUCGAGAUCCCGGGUGACGAGACACUAAACACAUUCAUGAAACACUUUCAACCCUCCACUCAUCGACAAGCACACAUUUUCAAAGUCUUUAACAAAAAUUGUACUAAACGAAAUUAAGAAAAAUAACCAUACAAAUAUAAUUUAGAAGGUUGUAAACAAAAAAUCAGAAAAUUUCAGAGUCAACUUUUUUAAGUCACAUCUGCGCAA
RNAcentral lists this long non-coding RNA (5887 nucleotides) under Monomorium pharaonis (pharaoh ant). RNAcentral's name for it is "uncharacterized LOC114253908". The record is from RNAcentral. Lineage: Eukaryota; Metazoa; Arthropoda; Insecta; Hymenoptera; Formicidae.